RNAcentral lists this unclassified non-coding RNA (250 nucleotides) under Hevea brasiliensis (rubber tree). Lineage: Eukaryota; Viridiplantae; Streptophyta; Magnoliopsida; Malpighiales; Euphorbiaceae. The record is from RNAcentral.
CUGUAUUUUGGUAGCUUUGGUUCAAGGCUUUUCUGAGUUCUUUUAUUUGUCAUAUUCAAGCUAUUUAUAAACAGGAAGCUACUUGCAUAUGUUCUAUUCCAUUUUAACAUACCAUUGACCUAAUUUUAUGCAACCGUAUAUAGUUUUUUGAAAUAAACAUAAUUGGUUCACAGUUAUUUUGAUGUAAUGCUUUAGGCGUAUACUGAAAGUGCAAAAAUCAUUGCAGUUACUCUUCAUUUUGUUCUUUUGG